UAUUGGCAGAGCUAAAAGAGCUUUAUAACACUUGCCCAAGCAGGGCAGAGGCCGAGGGGCCAGAGAGAGGCAUGUUUGCAGGCAUGGCUGGGAAGAGGCUGUUCCGAUGGAAGAACUGUGUCCUGAGCAUUCCUGAGCCGGUUGUAACCUAUUAUUUCCCUAAUAAAGCUCGUAAUCCUGAUCACUGUCUACGAGUUCUGUGUGACUGUUGCAGUGAAUUAUCUAACUCAGCGGAGAAGUAGAGAGUGCUGUGGGAGAGCCAUUUGGUAUUAGAAUUGGUAAAGAUAGCAGAGGAAGGAGGCAUGUUUGAACACUGCCUCAUAGAAAUCAACCUUGGGCUGUUGAUCUUGAUUCUCCUUCCCCCUCAUGAAGUUAGAGGAAGUUAAAUGCCACCCGCAUGCUAUUUUUAUAGUAAACAACCCCACAGAGGGUUUCAGAUAGAAAGAAGCAAGAAAAGCAGCAAGAAGAGAGAAGAAGCAGAGAGAGAGAGGAGGCAAAGAACCUCUAAAAGAGCUGUAACAUGGGUCAAGGGCUGUGACACUGAAGACAGCAAGAGGCCCAGAAAGGGCCCAGUGGCAGAGCUGGUGGCAACGGGCCUGGGUGAGAUCCAGCAACAGUCAGUGGUGACAGAUGGCAAGGUCAAGAGGAGGCCUGUCCUUGGGGGGCCGAGAGGAGGCCUGCAUGAUUGAGAGGAGCCCAGAGAGCUGUUGUACACUGAAGAAGGGAGGCUUUGCCUUACAUGGUUCCUGAAUCCUGAUCCUGUGUUGUAGCCUGUUAAUCCUGAUUCCACAUUGUACCCUGUUCCUUCAUAAACCACUUAACUGUGGUAAGAGACCAAUAGAUGUAUCCUUGAUGGCCAUUCAAAAGCUUUUAAGACCCCAGACGCCACUCAUCAAAGUAGGAUGCAGCACUUUAUGGACUAUGUUGUGCCAGUUGAUGUAGAUGACCCCUGAGUAGUCUGUGAGUUCUGUGUGGCCAUUGCAAUGGAUUAUUGAAGCCAGAAGAGAAGUAGAGAAUGCUGUGGAAGGGACAGCUGGUGUCAGAAUUGGUAAAAAGUUUGGAGGAUGGAGGUAUGUCUGACCUCCACCUCAUGGGAAUCAGCUUUGGGUUGAUCCUGGUCAUUAUCCUCCCUGAAGUUAGACAGGUUCUGAUGCUACUACUACUACCAUUUUACGAGGUCAAAAUGAAAAUAUUUUUGAUAUAUUGGGUUAGAUAAAAUACAUUAUUAAACCAUCUAAGACACAACAAUUGGUCUCUAUUCACCUGGAACAACACAGGAAAAAGGAGAGUCAAGAGUAGGAGGGGGUUAUGGAAUGUGUGGCUACCCGCCUCCAGGAAAAACUGCCUCUUUUGCCACGAGACCAGAAGAACUGGAUGGAGCCCAGCUACCAUUACUGACCAUUUUGAUUGAAGAUUUCAUAGAAAAAGCCUGAUCAAAAAGGGGAAAAUGCAGAACAUAAUUUCAAAUUUUCAUGGACUGUGGACUUUCUGGAGCCAUGGAGGCGGAUGAACCCCUAAAACAGUUGCCUGGAGAUAAUAUUUGAACCUUGACCCAGAAAUAUCCCCUGAGCCCUUUUUAAAACCAAAAAAUAGUUCAGCUUAACUAGUAAAAAAGGUCUGCCUUUAGCAUUGUGCUGUUUUAAGAGCUAUCCAUGUGGGAUCAAAUUGACAACAGCAACUUGCAAGAUUGGAUGGAAACCUUAGGGGACAGUGAGUUUAUGUUAAUGGGGGAGGGACAACUCAGAAAAGGAGGGUAAGAAUGGCUGCACAACUAGAAGAAUGUAAUCAGUGUCACUAAAUGGUACAUGUUAGAAACUGUUGAAUUGGUGUAUGUUUUGCUGUGUAUAUUCUCAACAGCAACAAAAUAAAUAAAAUUUAAAGAAAAAAAAACAUUAUUAAAGUUAAUUUCGUCUGGUUUUUGUUACCUUUUUCAAUGUGACUACCAGAAAAUUUUAAAUUACACAUGUGGAACAGGACUUCCGGAAUGGUGGAGCGAGGAGCUCAGCAAAUCUUCUCCCAAAAGAGCGAGGCUCAAACUGGAUAAAGUUGUUAAAACUAACCAUUUUAGGACUCUGGAAACGAACUGAAGGCAUCCAACAUUUGAUAAGCAUUUAUUUAAAAAAAAAUCAAGAACAGGACUACUGAAUCUCAGUAUAAGCAUAAACAGUGGGAGUCUGUGGAGUUUAAAUGUGGGGUUACUUUUAUUUUCUCCCACUCCGUGGUGGUUCUACCAGAGCCAGGUAGACUGAGAAAAUCUGAAGUUCUGCUGACACUGGAAGGGGUUGAAUUGAUUGGAGGGGAAGGGGAUACCCAAGAGGUGUUUGUCAAAAACAAGAGCAGUCUCUGCGGCAAACAGCUGGGCAAGACCAACAUGGCAGCUAUCUGAGUCCAUGAUACUGGUGGGAGCAAGCAAUAGUUCAGUCAGAAAUUUAGUAAGGAAAUUCAGUCAAUAAUACAGUCAUAAUGGGCCUUGAUAAAGCUCCCAGAUGUCCUUGGUGGUCUUCAAGGCACGUGCACAGAGAGGCCCCAGCUAUACACUCAUCCCCGGCUGAAUAUGAGGCUUUGUGCCAGCAGAAAGUAAAAGCCAGGGCCAACUUGUAAACUGCCUGAACUCUGAAUGCAUUUCCCAAGUCAUAUACAGAGUGACCCAUAUACUCAUUUACAGAGAAGGUGGAAGCUUUACUGGUUCAAGAUUUUUAAGCACAAUCUCUGGCCAAUAAUUGGCUGGCCACUAAGCUAUACUGAUCCAGGGGAAAGCCUUAGGAAACCAGGCUUAAAUAUAAAAAAUGAAUUUAAAAAAUAUUGGAACAGAGACAUCAGUGGCCACACACUGUAUGCGAAACAGACUCUACAGAAUUAGUCCAGGCAAGAAACUAAAAUAAAAAACCAGCAUCAACAACACCACCUAUGGAAAGGGAAGAGGUACAGAAUCCAGUGCUUCUACUAUGCCGUUGUUGUUAGGUGCCGUCGAAUCGGUUCCAACUCAUAGCGACCCUAUGCACAAUAGAACGAAACACUGCCUGGUCCUGAGCCACCCUCACAAUCGUUGUUAUGCUUGAGCUCAUUGUUGCAACCACUGUCAAUCCACCUCGUUGAGUGUCUUCCUCUUUUCUGCUGACCCUGUACUCUGCCAAGCAUGAUGUCCUUCUCCAGGGACUAAUCCCUCCUGACAACAUGUCCAAAGUAUGUACGAUGGAGUCUCUCUGUCCUUGCUUCUAAGGAGCAUUCUGGUUGUACUUCCUCUAAGACAGAUUUGUUCGUUCUUUUGGCAGUCCAUGUUAUAUUCAAUAUUCUUCGCCAACACCACAAUUCAAAGGCGUCAAUUCUUCUCUGGUCUUCCUUAUUCAUUGUCCAGCUUUCACAUGCAUAUGAUGUGAUUGAAAAUACCAUGGCUUGGGUCAGGUGCACCUUAGUCUUCAAGGUGACAUCUUUGGUCUUCAACACUUUAGAGAGGUCCUUUGCAGCAGAUUUACCCAAUGCAAUGUGUCUUUUGAUUUCUUGACUGCUGCUUCCAUGGCUGUUGAUUGUGGAUCCAAGUGAAAUGAAAUCCUUGACAACUUCUAUCUUUUCUCCAUUUAUCAUGAUGUUGCUCAUUGGCCCAGUUGUGAGGAAUUUUGUUUUCUACUAUAUGUUACUAAAAUUGUCCAGUAUUCAAGGAAAAAUUAUGAGACAUGCAAAGAAACAAGAAAGUGUAGGCCAUGCACAGGGGAAAAGCAGUUAAUAGAAACUGUCUCUGAGGUGACCCAAGUGUUGGGCUUAGCAGACAAGGACUUCAAAGCAGCUACCAGAGAUGUAUUCAAAGAACUAAAAGAAACAAUGUUAUAAUGAAUAUUUUGUAAGUAUGAUGACCAUGACUCAUCAAAAACAAAUUUCUAAUAGAGAAAUGAUUUUUUUAAAAAAAAGCCAAAUGGAAAUUUGAGAGUUGAACAGUAUAAUAACUAAAAUGAAAAACUCAGUAGAGGGGUUCAAUGGCAGAUAUGAGCUGACAGAAUCAGUGAACUUGAAGAUAGAUCAAUAAAGAUAUCCAAUCAGAAGAUUAAAAAAAAAAAAGGAUAGGAAAAAUGAGCAGAACC
Long non-coding RNA from Loxodonta africana (African savanna elephant), 4073 nucleotides. RefSeq lists it as uncharacterized. The record is from RefSeq and is a predicted model, not a curated record. The transcript is spliced from 2 exons. Lineage: Eukaryota; Metazoa; Chordata; Mammalia; Proboscidea; Elephantidae.